Molecule: ribosomal RNA, 617 nt
Filed under: uncultured bacterium
Lineage: Bacteria
Description: bacterial SSU rRNA
Rfam family: Bacterial small subunit ribosomal RNA
Source: RNAcentral
GGCUCGCAGGCGGUUUCUUAAGUCUGAUGUGAAAGCCCCCGGCUCAACCGGGGAGGGUCAUUGGAAACUGGGGAACUUGAGUGCAGAAGAGGAGAGUGGAAUUCCACGUGUAGCGGUGAAAUGCGUAGAGAUGUGGAGGAACACCAGUGGCGAAGGCGACUCUCUGGUCUGUAACUGACGCUGAGGAGCGAAAGCGUGGGGAGCGAACAGGAUUAGAUACCCUGGUAGUCCACGCCGUAAACGAUGAGUGCUAAGUGUUAGGGGGUUUCCGCCCCUUAGUGCUGCAGCUAACGCAUUAAGCACUCCGCCUGGGGAGUACGGUCGCAAGACUGAAACUCAAAGGAAUUGACGGGGGCCCGCACAAGCGGUGGAGCAUGUGGUUUAAUUCGAAGCAACGCGAAGAACCUUACCAGGUCUUGACAUCCUCUGACAAUCCUAGAGAUAGGACGUCCCCUUCGGGGGCAGAGUGACAGGUGGUGCAUGGUUGUCGUCAGCUCGUGUCGUGAGAUGUUGGGUUAAGUCCCGCAACGAGCGCAACCCUUGAUCUUAGUUGCCAGCAUUCAGUUGGGCACUCUAAGGUGACUGCCGGUGACAAACCGGAGGAAGGUGGGGAUGAC